GCCCGGGUAGCUCAAUUGGUCAGAGCGUCGGACUUUUACAACUACCCCUUCCGAGGGCCUGUAAUCCGAAGGCUGGGGGUUCGAGACCCCCUUCGGGCG
This 99-nucleotide transfer RNA is filed under the name Microdochium trichocladiopsis. It matches the Rfam family "tRNA". From Rfam's summary of the family: Transfer RNA (tRNA) molecules are approximately 80 nucleotides in length. Lineage: Eukaryota; Fungi; Ascomycota; Sordariomycetes; Xylariales; Microdochiaceae. The record is from Rfam by way of RNAcentral.